CCCUUAGAUGUUCUGGGCUGCACGCGCGCUACACUGAAGCGUUCAACGAGUAUUCACCUUGCCCGGGAGGGUUGGGUAAUCUUUUGAAAACGCUUCGUGAUGGGGAUAGAUUAUUGCAAUUAUUAAUCUUCAACGAGGAAUUCCUAGUAAGCGCGAGUCAUCAGCUCGUGCUGAUUACGUCCCUGCCCUUUGUACACACCGCCCGUCGCACCUACCGAUUGAAUGGUCCGGUGAAAUCUUCGGAUCUGAGAGAUGUCUGAUUAAUUUCGGACGCCUUUUGGAAAAGUUGUUUAAACCUUACCAUUUAGAGGAAGGUGAANUCGUANCA
This 328-nucleotide ribosomal RNA is filed under the name uncultured eukaryote. RNAcentral describes it as "partial 18S ribosomal RNA". It matches the Rfam family "Eukaryotic small subunit ribosomal RNA", at positions 1470 to 1796 of the family's 1831-position model. The record is from RNAcentral.